This 2547-nucleotide ribosomal RNA is filed under the name Escherichia coli. RNAcentral describes it as "bacterial LSU rRNA". It matches the Rfam family "Bacterial large subunit ribosomal RNA", at positions 398 to 2925 of the family's 2925-position model. The record is from RNAcentral. Lineage: Bacteria; Pseudomonadati; Pseudomonadota; Gammaproteobacteria; Enterobacterales; Enterobacteriaceae.
UGUGAGCUCGAUGAGUAGGGCGGGACACGUGGUAUCCUGUCUGAAUAUGGGGGGACCAUCCUCCAAGGCUAAAUACUCCUGACUGACCGAUAGUGAACCAGUACCGUGAGGGAAAGGCGAAAAGAACCCCGGCGAGGGGAGUGAAAAAGAACCUGAAACCGUGUACGUACAAGCAGUGGGAGCCUCUUUUAUGGGGUGACUGCGUACCUUUUGUAUAAUGGGUCAGCGACUUAUAUUCUGUAGCAAGGUUAACCGAAUAGGGGAGCCGAAGGGAAACCGAGUCUUAACUGGGCGUUAAGUUGCAGGGUAUAGACCCGAAACCCGGUGAUCUAGCCAUGGGCAGGUUGAAGGUUGGGUAACACUAACUGGAGGACCGAACCGACUAAUGUUGAAAAAUUAGCGGAUGACUUGUGGCUGGGGGUGAAAGGCCAAUCAAACCGGGAGAUAGCUGGUUCUCCCCGAAAGCUAUUUAGGUAGCGCCUCGUGAAUUCAUCUCCGGGGGUAGAGCACUGUUUCGGCAAGGGGGUCAUCCCGACUUACCAACCCGAUGCAAACUGCGAAUACCGGAGAAUGUUAUCACGGGAGACACACGGCGGGUGCUAACGUCCGUCGUGAAGAGGGAAACAACCCAGACCGCCAGCUAAGGUCCCAAAGUCAUGGUUAAGUGGGAAACGAUGUGGGAAGGCCCAGACAGCCAGGAUGUUGGCUUAGAAGCAGCCAUCAUUUAAAGAAAGCGUAAUAGCUCACUGGUCGAGUCGGCCUGCGCGGAAGAUGUAACGGGGCUAAACCAUGCACCGAAGCUGCGGCAGCGACGCUUAUGCGUUGUUGGGUAGGGGAGCGUUCUGUAAGCCUGCGAAGGUGUGCUGUGAGGCAUGCUGGAGGUAUCAGAAGUGCGAAUGCUGACAUAAGUAACGAUAAAGCGGGUGAAAAGCCCGCUCGCCGGAAGACCAAGGGUUCCUGUCCAACGUUAAUCGGGGCAGGGUGAGUCGACCCCUAAGGCGAGGCCGAAAGGCGUAGUCGAUGGGAAACAGGUUAAUAUUCCUGUACUUGGUGUUACUGCGAAGGGGGGACGGAGAAGGCUAUGUUGGCCGGGCGACGGUUGUCCCGGUUUAAGCGUGUAGGCUGGUUUUCCAGGCAAAUCCGGAAAAUCAAGGCUGAGGCGUGAUGACGAGGCACUACGGUGCUGAAGCAACAAAUGCCCUGCUUCCAGGAAAAGCCUCUAAGCAUCAGGUAACAUCAAAUCGUACCCCAAACCGACACAGGUGGUCAGGUAGAGAAUACCAAGGCGCUUGAGAGAACUCGGGUGAAGGAACUAGGCAAAAUGGUGCCGUAACUUCGGGAGAAGGCACGCUGAUAUGUAGGUGAAGCGACUUGCUCGUGGAGCUGAAAUCAGUCGAAGAUACCAGCUGGCUGCAACUGUUUAUUAAAAACACAGCACUGUGCAAACACGAAAGUGGACGUAUACGGUGUGACGCCUGCCCGGUGCCGGAAGGUUAAUUGAUGGGGUCAGCGCAAGCGAAGCUCUUGAUCGAAGCCCCGGUAAACGGCGGCCGUAACUAUAACGGUCCUAAGGUAGCGAAAUUCCUUGUCGGGUAAGUUCCGACCUGCACGAAUGGCGUAAUGAUGGCCAGGCUGUCUCCACCCGAGACUCAGUGAAAUUGAACUCGCUGUGAAGAUGCAGUGUACCCGCGGCAAGACGGAAAGACCCCGUGAACCUUUACUAUAGCUUGACACUGAACAUUGAGCCUUGAUGUGUAGGAUAGGUGGGAGGCUUUGAAGUGUGGACGCCAGUCUGCAUGGAGCCGACCUUGAAAUACCACCCUUUAAUGUUUGAUGUUCUAACGUUGACCCGUAAUCCGGGUUGCGGACAGUGUCUGGUGGGUAGUUUGACUGGGGCGGUCUCCUCCUAAAGAGUAACGGAGGAGCACGAAGGUUGGCUAAUCCUGGUCGGACAUCAGGAGGUUAGUGCAAUGGCAUAAGCCAGCUUGACUGCGAGCGUGACGGCGCGAGCAGGUGCGAAAGCAGGUCAUAGUGAUCCGGUGGUUCUGAAUGGAAGGGCCAUCGCUCAACGGAUAAAAGGUACUCCGGGGAUAACAGGCUGAUACCGCCCAAGAGUUCAUAUCGACGGCGGUGUUUGGCACCUCGAUGUCGGCUCAUCACAUCCUGGGGCUGAAGUAGGUCCCAAGGGUAUGGCUGUUCGCCAUUUAAAGUGGUACGCGAGCUGGGUUUAGAACGUCGUGAGACAGUUCGGUCCCUAUCUGCCGUGGGCGCUGGAGAACUGAGGGGGGCUGCUCCUAGUACGAGAGGACCGGAGUGGACGCAUCACUGGUGUUCGGGUUGUCAUGCCAAUGGCACUGCCCGGUAGCUAAAUGCGGAAGAGAUAAGUGCUGAAAGCAUCUAAGCACGAAACUUGCCCCGAGAUGAGUUCUCCCUGACUCCUUGAGAGUCCUGAAGGAACGUUGAAGACGACGACGUUGAUAGGCCGGGUGUGUAAGCGCAGCGAUGCGUUGAGCUAACCGGUACUAAUGAACCGUGAGGCUUAACCUU